Long non-coding RNA from Dreissena polymorpha, 1223 nucleotides. RefSeq lists it as uncharacterized. The transcript has 3 exons. The record is from RefSeq and is a predicted model, not a curated record. Lineage: Eukaryota; Metazoa; Mollusca; Bivalvia; Myida; Dreissenidae.
UGUAUCCCUGUUUAUCAGUAUUGUUUUGUUGUAAGAUGUCAAUUUGGUCCCUCUAUCUGUAGAAAUCAACAUUCUGUGUGUAAAAAAGCUGAAAAGAGUGAUUCAGUGAGUUAUGAUGGACCUUUUUUGAAUGCUCUGAACUACUGAACAGGUUAAACUCUUGUCCCAAGGCAAAAUUUACGUUGAACAGAAGAUCCUAAGGAAAGUGUGCACAUCGACUGCCAAAAAUGGAGCAAAAGGGGAUGUUACCUCAUGAUGUAUGGACUUUUAGACAAGGUUUUUACCCUGCACAAGUUUGCCAGCUCAAGGGGAACAGGAGUGGGAAAACCGCACCCCGGUGAUGAGCAUAUACCUGUCCUUGACCAAGACAAGCUGGAUUUGUGGAGAUGUAAAUUUAUACAGAGAUCAUGCAGGAGCAGUACAAGGGCAAACCUGUGCAAGUGCGAGAGAAGAUCCGCAACCUGCUGAAACCCAGCAAAUUAAAAAAACAGUUUUAAAAAAUGAUGGGAGUUCUAUACUAAAAACAGUACCCUUGUGCUCAUGUGUUCAUAUUGUGACAUAAUAGCUUAAAAUAACUACUGUGUCAAAACAUGUUUUAAGAAUUUCCAUUUAUCAUUGUUUCUUUUGUCAGGGGUGUGAUUGAGGCAAAGUCGGAGGGGAGGAAAAUUCUGUUGACUGAUUUUGACUACGCAAAUGGCGCUUAACGAAGUGACAAACAUAAAAACAGACAUUAAAAUAAACAACUUUUUGAACUUCAUAACACUAUUUCUUUAUAAAAACCUGUUAAACUUCACAUUAAUCAUACUGAGGAUGCAAAGUAAACAGUUAAGUAAGUAUUUAUUGUGAUCAAUAGCAGCAGUUUUUCAAUGUAUUGAAUGACAGUUAAUAGACUAAAUAAAAACAAACACACUUGAGUGUUCUUCUGGUGUUAAUGAUGUAUUAACUGAGUUAAAUUAAUAUAUUUAAUUUGUUUACCUUUCAAUAUCUUGCAUUUCACAUCUUCACUCAGUUCAAAGCUAUUUCAGUUAACUGAACAGCGUGACAAACAUAAUAAAGCAGAAUAUGCAUAUGAAUCUGAUUAUACACAGACCCACAGACAUAUAAAAAUCAAAUCAUGUUUGUCUAUUUCCAUGUUCGAACGAUACUCUCUAAAUUGUUUUACUUCGCGAGUAGACUACACUCCAAUUUGCAAACACUGGUUUCCGUGACACAAAUUCAGUGGG